UGUGUGUGUAUUCGGGUAUUUCUUUGUUCCACUCAGAUAAUAUCUUAACUUUUGUACAAUUUAGCUUGCCGGCUUGACUUUUUUAAUUGUAUCAAUGAACUGGUAGGGUCUUUCAAAGCCCCCAUCUCCUUUGGAUGAUGUAAGAGAGGUGAAGGAGAAGGCAUAUUUUCCAUUCAAUAUUCUUACAUGAAAAAUAAAUCAUGCUGCAUCAUUAUUUUUUUUUCUAGAUUUUGCGCCUUCAGCUCAUAAUAUUACUGUCUCAGAAAAUUUCACUCAUCAAGGAGGCAUGGCCGAUGAAAGCAACGAUAUUCUGCAGGGACAUCCUGAUGCCUUCAUGAAUACGGCUACCGUGGAACCUGCAGCACCUCAGGUACACGGCAUAGAUUUCGGAUUCCAUAUUCAACAGGGUCCUCCGUUGCCCGGAAAUUGGAACAAUAAACGGAAACUUGAAGUCUUCGAUGAAUCUGAUGGAACGAGCUGGUCGAUUGAAAAUGAGACGGUAAUUAGAAUCGUAAAAAUGUUCAAAUCUGCCCCAGGUCAAAGCACGCAUGAAAUUCGUCAGUCACAUGCUGCAUCAGGCACUGAAGGCAAUCAAUCUACUAUGCAAUUCCCACCACAUCCAUCUGGCGCAGCAGGUAUUUCAAAUGAGAGGGCCACGCACCAAGACAUAAACCAAUCGAAUGUGCGUACCAGCGAGCAAUUCUCCACAGCCGGUGAAAGUUCAACUGACCACAAUCAGAUAUCAAUUGAUGAUUAUGUUAUUGACCUAGAGCCUUUUCCUAACC
Non-coding RNA from Phoenix dactylifera (date palm), 785 nucleotides. The record is from RefSeq and is a predicted model, not a curated record. Lineage: Eukaryota; Viridiplantae; Streptophyta; Magnoliopsida; Arecales; Arecaceae.